GGGACAUACACACACGUGCGCACGCACAAAUACAUUUUAGCUUAUCAUUUUUUAAAAGAGGAGUCUUACCUGAGGAUGAUCACUCCAGUCUGGAAUCCUGCUUGUUUCAAGUCUCACGUUUGCAAACUGUGUUCCUGUCAUCUUUCGGGUUAAGAGAGAGCUGUUGAUUCUCUGACGGACACUCCGCUUCCGUGGAUUGAAGCUCCACUUCAAUGGAUCUUCACUGCAGAGCCGCAGAUCAACCCCAAACAGUUUUUAGCAGAGAUUUGAUAAAUAGCAGCGUCAUUCUGGGUACCGCUAGGAUGAAGAAAAGAUACAGGCCAUGAUCCCUCUGCUGGACAAACCAGUUAUCCUGAAGGUACUAUAACUUGCGUGGGAAGAAGGAAAAGGAAGAGAGGAAAACAAGAUCAAGAGGCACAAAGGACCAGGAGCCCUGAAGACAGAGUUCAUAGGAGUGGAAGCUGAAACUACUGGC
Lagenorhynchus albirostris (white-beaked dolphin) is the source of this 475-nucleotide long non-coding RNA. RefSeq lists it as uncharacterized. The transcript is spliced from 4 exons. The record is from RefSeq and is a predicted model, not a curated record. Lineage: Eukaryota; Metazoa; Chordata; Mammalia; Artiodactyla; Delphinidae.